RNAcentral lists this microRNA (20 nucleotides) under Arabidopsis lyrata. Its description in RNAcentral is "aly-miR165b-5p". Its record names the gene aly-miR165b-5p. The record is from miRBase by way of RNAcentral. RNAcentral also lists the same sequence under 1 other name. Lineage: Eukaryota; Viridiplantae; Streptophyta; Magnoliopsida; Brassicales; Brassicaceae.
GAAUGUUGUUUGGAUCGAGG